AUAAGAUAUUUUGAAUGAAAUUAGUGUUUAACAUUUUCUUUAAACCACAUGGUGACCCCUCCACCUCACCUCCCUCACAUAACCCAAGGUCCCAAAUUGAGACUCCCAAUCCUAUAUUUGACAUUUUCUUUUCGUAUCCCAUAAGUCUCUCUAUCUCUCUCUCUCUCUCUCUUAUUUCCGAUCAGCCCGUAAAAAAUCUUGCCUUGAGAGAAGUUCCUUGAAACACAAAAUCCCAGAAAUCUUUCUGCCUCUUUCUCUCUCUCUUUUCCAGAAACCUCUAGCAAAGCAAUCUCCUCACUCCUCAGCGAAAUUUCCUAAACACACACUCUCUCUCUAGCGUUUUAGGCAUUUUUUUGCCCCUCUCUCUCUCUUCUUCUUUGAAAUCUUAGACACACCACACCCACACCUCACGUGACCUCCACCACAGUGGUGCACACUCCAGCGAGCACCAUCACCACAUGUGGACCGUUCCUCCUCCCUUUCUCACCUCCCGGUGAGCACCAUCAGGUAAUGGGAGGCCUUGUUUAGGCCGUACGAAGCGGAGGAUCCAUCAAACCCGAGCAGGUUUUGGGAUCCGGAGAAAAUGGAUUUUUCAUUUCCGACGACGGAGGCGCAGAUCUUGGGUCUGAGCCUGGAUUGCAGAGAAAGAUCUGGGGCAACUGCGACGACGCAGCCUCGGCUGCCUUUCCGACGACGGAGCCACGACGAUUGUUUCGAUAAUAUCGAAUAUAUUGCGAUAUUAUCGAUAAUAUCGCGAUAUUUUGACGAUAAUUAGGGGGAUAUAUGGGAAAAUAUCGGUCUCUCUGAAAAAUGAUAAUAUCGGCGAUUUUAGUCAUUGCUCAUAAGUCAUGAGUUCCUUCUAAAAGAAGUUCGAUUUUUCGUUUUAUUUUAUAUUUUACUCGUGUAUUGGGCAAGGGGUUAAGUUUUCCACUGACCCAGGGUCUAGGGCAUGACACAAGACCAUGGAGAGUUUAGCUAUGAUGUGUUGGAUGGCUUUGUUGCUGUUAAUGAAGAGCUUUGCUGUUGAGAUUAAGUUGUUCUUUUAAUAAGAUUAUGUUGCAGAACUAUAAAUUUAAUAGGUUUCUUUGAUUUUGGCACAA
Long non-coding RNA from Malus domestica (apple), 1100 nucleotides. RefSeq lists it as uncharacterized. Lineage: Eukaryota; Viridiplantae; Streptophyta; Magnoliopsida; Rosales; Rosaceae. The record is from RefSeq and is a predicted model, not a curated record.